UGGCUCAGAUUGAACGCUGGCGGCAUGCCUUACACAUGCAAGUCGAACGGCAGCGGACCUUCGGGUGCCGGCGAGUGGCGAACGGGUGAGUAAUAUAUCGGAACGUACCUUUCAGUGGGGGAUAACGUAGCGAAAGUUACGCUAAUACCGCAUAUUCUGUGAGCAGGAAAGCAGGGGAUCGCAAGACCUUGCGCUGAUUGAGCGGCCGAUAUCAGAUUAGCUAGUUGGUGAGGUAAAGGCUCACCAAGGCGACGAUCUGUAGCGGGUCUGAGAGGAUGAUCCGCCACACUGGAACUGAGACACGGUCCAGACUCCUACGGGAGGCAGCAGUGGGGAAUUUUGGACAAUGGGCGCAAGCCUGAUCCAGCCAUGCCGCGUGAGUGAAGAAGGCCUUCGGGUUGUAAAGCUCUUUCGGCCGGGAAGAAAUCGCACAGGUUAAUACCCUGUGUGGAUGACGGUACCGGAAUAAGAAGCACCGGCUAACUACGUG
Molecule: ribosomal RNA, 490 nt
Filed under: uncultured bacterium
Lineage: Bacteria
Description: bacterial SSU rRNA
Rfam family: Bacterial small subunit ribosomal RNA
Source: RNAcentral